Molecule: long non-coding RNA, 710 nt
Organism: Lytechinus variegatus (green sea urchin)
Lineage: Eukaryota; Metazoa; Echinodermata; Echinoidea; Temnopleuroida; Toxopneustidae
Exons: 2
Source: RefSeq, a predicted model, not a curated record
GUUUUUCUUGGUUACGAAAAAUGACCAAUUAGAUCUCGCCCUGUAAGGGCGUUUCGUGCGUUCUUAAUUGACGAUACGGGACUCUUAAAAAAAGCCCGGUUGCUGAUACUUCAGCAGAGUCGUCUGUGUGUAAUUUUGGUUACAUCUUUCUCUAUGGGGAUUUGAACCAAUAUCUCCCCGAGAUCGUCGGCUUAGCUCCCAACAGCCUACCUCACCGAUGCUGUCUGGGCUGGUCUUUUUGUAGAGGAGAAAUGGACUCCUGUUAUAGCUGACUUUUUACCUACGUCUUUUUCCUGAUAUUUAUCGGGUUCCACUGAGACCCUCACCAUUGACGAGUUUUGAUAUCGACGAUUCAUCUCGUUUCCACUCUCCGAUGUACAUGGCAGGCCUAUAGCUACGUAUUUCAUCAUUCCAAGUUCAGGUCGCACAACUCAAUUCGCCAAGUAGACACCAACUUUUGUAGACAAGUCAACUUCUCAACGCUUUGGCCUAGUUUGGAGUUUAUAUCCUAUUUUGUCACUUAAUCAAUUACUCUGUUUUAAACUGAUAGAGAUCCUAUACAUUUCUUUGAAUAUUCGACAUAACUUGUACUGUCUUCAGUUUAUUGGAUAAACCAUACAGGCAUUUCUUUGAGUUGUAAACACUCUGUAAAAUUGUCAUAGAAAGCAUUGGAAUCAUUUUAAUUAUAAAUUGAAGUCAUGGAACCGUAA